UACGAAGGGUGCUAGCGUUGUUCGGAAUUACUGGGCGUAAAGAGCGCGUAGGCGGCUAUACAAGUCAGGGGUGAAAUCCCGGAGCUUAACUCCGGAACUGCCUUUGAAACUGUAUAGCUGGAGUGUGUGAGGGGAUAGCGGAAUUCCUAAUGUAGAGGUGAAAUUCGUAGAUAUUAGGAGGAACACCAGUGGCGAAGGCGACUUCCUGGCCUGUUCUUGACGCUGAGGCGCGAAAGCUAGGGGAGCAAACGGG
RNAcentral lists this ribosomal RNA (253 nucleotides) under uncultured bacterium. RNAcentral describes it as "partial 16S ribosomal RNA". It matches the Rfam family "Bacterial small subunit ribosomal RNA", at positions 524 to 776 of the family's 1533-position model. The record is from RNAcentral.